CAAGUCGAGCGAAUCCCCGCAAGGGGGGAAGCGGCGAAAGGGGCAGUAAGGCAUGGGUAACCUACCCUGGGGACUGGGAUAGCCCUUCGAGAGAAGGGGUAAUACCGGGCGAUGUGCCGGGCCGGCAUCGGUCAGUCACCAAAUGAAUUUCGCCCUGGGAGGGGCCCAUGUGAUAUUAGCUAGUUGGUGAGGUAACGGCUCGCCAAGGCGAAGAUGUCUAGCGGGUGUGAGAGCACGACCCGCGCCACUGGCACUGAGACACUGGCCAGACACCUACGGGUGGCUGCAGUCGAGGAUCUUCGGCAAUGGGCGCAAGCCUGACCGAGCGACGCCGCGUGUGCGAUGAAGGCCUUCGGGUUGUAAAGCACUGUCGAGAGGGAGAAAAGCGAAAGCUUGAUCUAUCUCUGGAGGAAGCACGGGCUAAGUUCGUGCCAGCAGCCGCGGUAAGACGAACCGUGCGAACGUUGUUCGGAAUCACUGGGCUUAAAGGGCGCGUAGGCGGGUCUUCAAGUUUGGGGUGAAAUCCUCCGGCUCAACCGGAGAACUGCCUCGAAUACUGAAGGUCUCGAGGGGGAUAGGGGCAUGCGGAACUACGGGUGGAGCGGUGAAAUGCGUUGAUAUCCGUAGGAACUCCGGUGGCGAAGGCGGCGUGCUGGAUCCCUUCUGACGCUGAGGCGCGAAAGCCAGGGGAGCAAACGGGAUUAGAUACCCCGGUAGUCCUGGCCCUAAACGUUGAGAACUAGGUAGUAGACUAUACAUGGGUUUACUGCCGAAGCAAAAGUGCUAAGUUCUCCGCCUGGGGAGUAUGGUCGCAAGGCUGAAACUCAAA
RNAcentral lists this ribosomal RNA (829 nucleotides) under uncultured Planctomycetia bacterium. Its description in RNAcentral is "bacterial SSU rRNA". It matches the Rfam family "Bacterial small subunit ribosomal RNA", at positions 58 to 905 of the family's 1533-position model. The record is from RNAcentral. Lineage: Bacteria; Pseudomonadati; Planctomycetota; Planctomycetia.